CCCAAGGGGACAAUUCCCGCGUCAGAGCUGCUGGGCGGGUUUGAGGGGUCUGUGGUCAUCGCCCAGAGAAUAGGGCCUGGCCGCAUCAGGAGUUCUAGAUUGCUCGGCGUCUGCGAUCCAGAAUGGCAUGGCCUUGCUCCAAAUUCAGGAAACUGAGUUGUGAUUCUUUCACUGAUCCUUGGCAUAAAACCCAGACUACAUUGUUUCCCAGCACUGACAUCUCCAGCAGGAUCUGCCACUAUCUGGAUCUUCUGACCACUUUCCUUCGAUAGGUCCCAUUCAAAUCUGGCAACCUUUUGCACGUCUCAGCAUAUAUUAGGCCAAUGUGAUGUUCCUUGGUGUGCAGUAUGUUGCCUGUAGAACCUAAAAAGAUAUACCAGUUGCAGGUGAAUUCAGGGAGACUGGAAGAACACGGAGAAGGGCCUUUAUGCUAUCUUACUUCCACUGCUUGAGUUUCCCAAAUAAUGUUCGCCAGCACCAAGGAACAUCCCUACAAUAUCUAAUCAUGAUUCAUCACUUCACAUUUGAAUCUUUCCCAUAUCUCAUAUCACUCCUCAAUUGAUUAUGUCAUUAA
Long non-coding RNA from Sciurus carolinensis (gray squirrel), 574 nucleotides. RefSeq lists it as uncharacterized. Lineage: Eukaryota; Metazoa; Chordata; Mammalia; Rodentia; Sciuridae. The record is from RefSeq and is a predicted model, not a curated record. The transcript has 3 exons.